ACCUAUAAACCUGUGAUUUUC
Molecule: small nuclear RNA, 21 nt
Filed under: Arabidopsis thaliana (thale cress)
Lineage: Eukaryota; Viridiplantae; Streptophyta; Magnoliopsida; Brassicales; Brassicaceae
Description: snRNA_05324
Source: RNAcentral